Papaver somniferum (opium poppy) is the source of this 1901-nucleotide long non-coding RNA. RefSeq lists it as uncharacterized. The transcript is spliced from 5 exons. The record is from RefSeq and is a predicted model, not a curated record. Lineage: Eukaryota; Viridiplantae; Streptophyta; Magnoliopsida; Ranunculales; Papaveraceae.
AGCGAGAUAGGCAUGGUUUCUUCUUCUUUUUGGUCUCUUUCGCUGAGCAACCCUAACAACAUUAGUAUCUGUACGAAGAAGUAACUAGCCCGUUUAUCUUUUUCCAAUCCUUCUCCUCUCCGCUACAACCACACAAGAAAUAUUCCGAGGUUUCAAAAAUUUAGCCCUAAGGCCUAAUGGACACCCCCCUUCAGUUUUGAUUUGAAUGGUAGUUUCUUCUCAGAAGGGCGAAGCUGUGGUAGAACUCCUGUCUGAAGAUUCAUCGAGCUAGCAUUGAUAUUUGCGUAGGGGUAUUGUAAUGAGAAGCAUAUCAAUAGAUCAGCGAUUUCCAUCAGUGACUAAAGAUGCUGCUAAAACUGUCGUAACCAGUAAAUACUUCUUCGUCAUGAUGAGAACAAUAAUUACCAUAACUCGAGGAUAUUAAAGAAUCAGAAUCAGUUUUAUUUGGUAUCGUAAAAAGUGCAUUCGGUAGUCUGUUUAAUCUCCUUCAAAAGCAGCUCAGGUGGAACCAUGGUUUUCUUCCAUUGGUAUCGUAGGUAUGAAAUCUAUUAGAUGCAGCUUUAUUAAUGUUAAUUGUUUGUGAUGGAAUAAGCGCUGCCCAAGUUAUGAAACACUGCCUAUGAAAUCUAUUAGAUGCAUCUUUUUAUGUUUGUUUAUAUACAAGGUUGUGAUGGUUCAAUUCUUCUUAAUUGGACAAGCACAAAUCAAACUGAGAAAGCUGCAAUUUCUAGGAUAUCCCUAAGAGGUUUCAGUAUUAUUGAUGCUACAAAGGCUGCAGUGAAAAAAGUGUUCCAUGUUGUUUCAUGUGCACUAGCUAGCAUUGUCUGCAAGAGAUUCGGUAGCUAUGGUAACUAAUUAACAAUAAUGGACAGACUGAUCCAUACACAUAGUCUAAAUAGUGUUUUUUUUUUUAAAAGUCUAUACAAAUUAAAGGACCAUGGUGGAAUGUACUUACUGGGCGAGUAUCGACUAUUGGAGAUGCUUUUACACAUCUACCACCACCGUUCUUCAAUGUCACUCAAUUGGCAUUGAAGGGGUUGAAUGCAAAAGACCUUGCAGUCUUAUCAGGUACAUAAGCAUAAAUUUAUGAAUAAGUUGGUGGAUACUUAGGCAGCUGAUAUUUCGAAGUCAUGGAUGAAAAAGUAUGUUUUGUAAAACUAUAUAAGCACACUUGCUUGAUUAAAUUAGGUCGAAACACUUUCUUUAAGGUUAAUGUUGUAAAGUAGGUAGUUGAUGUGCGAUAUAUACCUGUUAAAGAAAAAUGAUCAAAGUCGUAAUUUUUACACUUCUUCAUUCAUAAUUGUUUUAUUUGUUGCUCUAAAAUUUGGUGUUGCUAACCAUUAAGUUUUGAAUAUUAGGAUGGCUUUUGUGAUUUCAUGUGAAAACAAAGAAAACACAAGCUAUUUUGACAUUCAGUAACCCGAGCAAUUUUGUAAACACUGAGCUUUGUUUACAAAUCCACAAAGGUGAUGACAUAUAUUCUUUUUUAUAUAUAGCUCUAUUGCUGAUCCUAAUUUAUAUGAUUUGGCAGUGUUUGUAUGAGUGGGAAAUCAAGGAUCUUAUUAUUAUGGUUACCACUAAUAUGUGGUUAGUGUUUGUAAUUUGCUUAUAUUCAUUUUAGAAAAUAAUGGAGUUGCAGAUCACUCUACAACUGAAGGUUAUUCUGCAGGGCUGAUCAUAAAAGAACAAUGAGUAAUUGACUCAAGGUCCUCAAUUAUUAUGCCACACUGUUAGUCUCUUUAGUUGUGUUGUGAUGCAGUGGGAAUCAAGAUGGAUUGAUUUGUCAAAGGCAGAAAAUUCGAGAUGUUUAAUUAUUUUUUAGAAUGACUUAUACAAUCGCAAAUAGAUUGGAAUAAUAAGGAAAGGCAUAUAGGGAAUAAUCCCAUGGGAAAUGUUUCUUA